AUCCCCACAUUUUCCUGCCAUGGAUGAUUGUACUCUGCAUUCCAAGUGGUCGCAGAUAAAUCUAGUUGUAUUCUAGAAAUAGUGGCAAAACUCCAACAUUUCUCUAGUUCCAAACGAAUACUCAGAAACCCAGUGGUCCUUUGCGUACCUAUUUCCCAGUCCCAGCAGGCAUUAGACUCCUACCUGUAUGCUUAUGAUGCUACUAUGGAUUUUUCACAGUGCUUUCCCCAGGAGCGUGUCCAUUUCAUUGCCUGGAUGUGUUUUUGUUUCGACAGGAGAUACUGAGAUUGAACAUCCUUCUGUUGUCCUCACUUUGAGAGAUGAAACAGCUUUGAGAGCAUAUGUCUGAUCCCACAUCCACUGAGACACUUGAUGAUUAGCCGUUUCAUAAGAUCAACCCAGAUUUUAUUUACCAGAUUCAGGUAUCGACUAACUUCACUGAAGCUGAGCCUGAACAGUUGCCUGUACAUGAGCUAAAGCAUUUUUAAAUAUGAAAUGGAAUGCAAGAAGAAUACUUGCAGCUCCCAAGUACAGCUCAGUGUACAUGGGGGAAAAAUGUAUUAGGACUUGAGAUCCUAGCAGAGGCAGUUCCGCUCUCUGGGAGCAGAAAGAAGGGACGAGACAUGGAAGGGUUCGCGGUCAGGAGAGGGACUCAGCCUAAGACCCAGCGUCUGGCAGAAAGCCCAAGUUUCAGAUUUGUGAGAAACUGUCUGGGGGAGAGAAACAUCUUUACACUAGAUGUGAAACAGGAGGGCCUGAGGGAGGGUUGGAGAGGAGCCCAAGAAUGAGCACAGCCUGCUGCAGUCAUCGGCUCCAGCCGGGGCCUCCCUUCUUCCACUCACGUGAAGCUAUUUCUAUUGUCAUUAAGCCUUAAAAAGCUGUUUGUGUGUCUGGAUGUGCACGUGUGUGUGUGCGCAUGUGUUUGCAGAAGUGACAUGUUUAACUUCAGAUCUGACAACGUGCCUUUGGCAGAUUCAAUGUAAAAAUUAACUUGCUCUCUGCCUCUUUUCCUUCUUUUUUUUUAAGAAUAAAACAAAACCAGAUUGAGCUUUUACACUUAAAGCCCUAAGAAAAUCAUAAAAGUGAAUUAUGGGGUGAGAAAUACUCUUUAAAGGAAAGCUUUACACUGGAGUAAACUUGGAACAUUUAUACAUUAAAUAUUACAUAUAACAUUUAUGUGUAUAAAAUCUGCUGAACUGGCCAGUUUCUGACUAUUACAUAAACUUUAUGCAUUCGAGAAAG
Long non-coding RNA from Pezoporus occidentalis (night parrot), 1242 nucleotides. RefSeq lists it as uncharacterized. NCBI's taxonomy places the organism in Eukaryota, Metazoa, Chordata, Aves, Psittaciformes, Psittacidae. The transcript is spliced from 4 exons. The record is from RefSeq and is a predicted model, not a curated record.